Ribosomal RNA from Dendrobium catenatum, 119 nucleotides. The record is from RefSeq and is a predicted model, not a curated record. NCBI's taxonomy places the organism in Eukaryota, Viridiplantae, Streptophyta, Magnoliopsida, Asparagales, Orchidaceae.
GGGUGCGAUCAUACCAGCACUAGUGCACCAGAUCCCAUUAGAACUCCAUAGUUAAGCAUGCUUGGGUGAGAGUAGUACUGGGAUUGGUGACAUCCUGGGAAGUCCUCGUGUUACACCUU